CAGAAUUUCCUUAACAAAUUUAGUCAUCUGAGCACAUUACAACACCUUUACAGUUAUGCAGAAAAGGACAGAGGAGCUUUGAUGGAUGUUUUAGAACAAGGAAUGCACCUUGAUAUGAAGGAACUGUUCCAACAAGUAGAGCUCGCCAUGCAACAAGAUCAGGAUUAAAUAUAAUCCAGACAGUAAAUCUCAACGGAUAAUCCCAUCCGGCAUCAAAAAAUUGGCAGCAUCUAAUAUCGCAUAUAUUCUUUUGAUGUAAAAUGUCUACGGUAUAUAUUUCAUUUAUGGAUUUGGUUUGUACAUUUUUUUUUUUUUUUUUGCAAUCCUAUUGGACGUUAUAUACAGUAUGGCGAAUGUGGCUAUUUUACAGGCUGACAUACUUUUUUUUGAGCCCGCAUUUUAAUCUUGAAUGCCUGUUAAACAAACUGCUUUUCAUUAGCUUUGGUGUAGACACAGCCAGAUUUAUGUGUGUGUUGAGUAUGCAGUCCAAUGCACCCCUCAACUCAAAUUCAUGGUUCGUGUGUAGUGCUCCAAUAUUUGGCCAGUACAUAAACACUACUUGUGAAAUUGCGCAUCAGAAAGGCUACCAUGAUAGUAUCUAUCAAAAGUUCAAUAAAUUGAAAUUGAAUUGAAGUUAUGAAAAGUGUACCAAUGUUCAGUUGAUUUGUGAACAUAACUUGCAAAGUUUCAAAUUUGUUAAGGUAUCACAAUAUGACAACAUUUGUAAUGAGAUUCGUGAAAAUCAUUCCAUUGCUGUACUGUAAUUACGAGUUUAAAAAUGUUGGUUACAACUUCGCAAAUAUGACCAUUGGAGGUCAAGUGAAAAAGUAGUUCGUGGCCUGACAUGGCAUCUCAAGUUAAGGCCCCUUUAGAGGAAUAAUUACGAUACCACAAGUUCUUGCUGAUUAUUGUACAUCUACUCAUGAAAGAGCCACUGAACAAAUUAUAGCCAAUCGUAUAAAAAUACACAGCUUUUAGUGCCUUAGUUGAGAAUUAAGUUGGUGUAAAUAUUAAUCAAUGUUUGAUUGUUGAUAUAUAUUUGAAUGAGAAAAAUAAUUAUACAGUUCGUUUGAAGUGUACGUUUUUCAGCAAUAGUAUUAUCAAAUGUUAUUUUCUAAAAUCAGUGAAAAAAUGUAUAAAAAAAAAUUAUUUCCUUGUUGACCAAAUGUUUUAGGAAACUACAAUGAAAACGCAUCACCUAAUCAAGAUUAUUGGAUUAUAUACUUUAAUUUUCUAUAAAUGUGUUUGUUACGUAGUUAGUGCGCAUAUUUGACUAUUCGUUUUCUGAUAUAUUCAGCCCACCGGGAAUCUUUACAUCUUGUUGACAGUGCUGUCAAUUCAAAAUAACAACUGAAUGAAAAAAAAAUGUUCCACAUUAAUACAAACAACUUUUAUCUCGCUCUCUGCCCUCUUCUCUCUCCCAAUUAUUCUAACUUAGUGAUAGAAAAGAGUACUGUUUUUUUUUCUACAAAAAUUAUUUCAUAAGAUUAUAAAUGGCUUAUACAAUGAGAGUAAUGAUUGUUUUAAAGAUUAAGUUGAUAUCAACUUCAUAUAUUAUAUGAAUAAUGAAAACCAUCAUGAAAAAAUAAAAAAGAAAAAAACAAAACUAUCAGCAGGUUAAUUUUUAAUUAAUUUAAUUGCUAUUCUGUGGUUUUCUCCAUUACUUAUUUAUGCCUGACCUUGGAAUAGGCCAUCAACUGCAAAUCUAUAUGAAAUAUGUUAUUGGACCACUGUUUUCUUCUCUCCGUUGUAUCGGUCUUUCUUCAUUUCUAAAGCCCUGUAUAAACUAUCAAAUUUUAUUUGACAAAAACAUGUGACAUGCCUAAAUAUGGUCAUGAUGACAUCACAUCAUGACCAAAUAUAGGCACAUCAUGACUAUAUAUGGGCGCACACUAGUUUUUGAUCGUGUGAACAGAGAUUUAAACUGACUUCAAAAGAGGACCGUAUGUGUGACUUAGAAAAUGAUCCCCUUGUCUCUGUUCAUAAUGAGGGAUCCUCUUGGUCUGAUCCAGAUGGCUUCACAGAUUCUAUGGGUGUUGGCCCUAGUUAACUUCUAUAGUAAACCUAUUGUACCAUCAUUCUGAAGAAGGAUAUCAUCCAGGAUACUUGAUAAAUAUGUAAUAUCUGUGUAAAGCGAAUAUACUUGGAAAAUAAAACUGUUGUUGUUG
Molecule: long non-coding RNA, 2168 nt
Filed under: Anneissia japonica
Lineage: Eukaryota; Metazoa; Echinodermata; Crinoidea; Comatulida; Comatulidae
Description: uncharacterized LOC117119355
Source: RNAcentral